RNAcentral lists this ribosomal RNA (1098 nucleotides) under uncultured Phoma. Its description in RNAcentral is "eukaryotic LSU rRNA". The stretch from base 466 to 1098 matches the Rfam family "Eukaryotic large subunit ribosomal RNA", at positions 1 to 649 of the family's 3401-position model. The record is from RNAcentral. Lineage: Eukaryota; Fungi; Ascomycota.
AAGGAUCAUUACCUAGAGUUGUAGGCUUUGCCUACCAUCUCUUACCCAUGUCUUUUGAGUACCUUCGUUUCCUCGGCGGGUCCGCCCGCCGAUUGGACAAACUUAAACCCUUUGUAAUUGAAAUCAGCGUCUGAAAAAACAUAAUAGUUACAACUUUCAACAACGGAUCUCUUGGUUCUGGCAUCGAUGAAGAACGCAGCGAAAUGCGAUAAGUAGUGUGAAUUGCAGAAUUCAGUGAAUCAUCGAAUCUUUGAACGCACAUUGCGCCCCUUGGUAUUCCAUGGGGCAUGCCUGUUCGAGCGUCAUUUGUACCUUCAAGCUCUGCUUGGUGUUGGGUGUUUGUCUCGCCUUUGCGUGUAGACUCGCCUUAAAACAAUUGGCAGCCGGCGCAUUGAUUUCGGAGCGCAGUACAUCUCGCGCUUUGCACUCAUAACGACGACGUCCAAAAAGUACAUUUUACACUCUUGACCUCGGAUCAGGUAGGGAUACCCGCUGAACUUAAGCAUAUCAAUAAGCGGAGGAAAAGAAACCAACAGGGAUUGCCCUAGUAACGGCGAGUGAAGCGGCAACAGCUCAAAUUUGAAAUCUGGCGUCUUUGGCGUCCGAGUUGUAAUUUGCAGAGGGCGCUUUGGCAUUGGCAGCGGUCCAAGUUCCUUGGAACAGGACGUCACAGAGGGUGAGAAUCCCGUACGUGGUCGCUAGCCUUUACCGUGUAAAGCCCCUUCGACGAGUCGAGUUGUUUGGGAAUGCAGCUCUAAAUGGGAGGUAAAUUUCUUCUAAAGCUAAAUACUGGCCAGAGACCGAUAGCGCACAAGUAGAGUGAUCGAAAGAUGAAAAGCACUUUGGAAAGAGAGUUAAAAAGCACGUGAAAUUGUUGAAAGGGAAGCGCUUGCAGCCAGACUUGCCUGUAGUUGCUCAUCCGGGUUUUUACCCGGUGCACUCUUCUAUAGGCAGGCCAGCAUCAGUUUGGGCGGUUGGAUAAAGGUCUCUGUCACGUACCUCCUCUCGGGGAGAACUUAUAGGGGAGACGUAAUGCAACCAGCCUGGACUGAGGUCCGCGCAUCUGCUAGGAUGCUGGCGUAAUGGCUGUAAGCGGCC